RNAcentral lists this ribosomal RNA (631 nucleotides) under uncultured Microbacteriaceae bacterium. RNAcentral describes it as "bacterial SSU rRNA". It matches the Rfam family "Bacterial small subunit ribosomal RNA", at positions 54 to 696 of the family's 1533-position model. Lineage: Bacteria; Bacillati; Actinomycetota; Actinomycetes; Micrococcales; Microbacteriaceae. The record is from RNAcentral.
CAUGCAAGUCGAACGAUGAUGCUGGAGCUUGCUCCAGUUGAUUAGUGGCGAACGGGUGAGUAACACGUGAGCAAUCUGCCCUUGACUCUGGGAUAACUGCGGGAAACUGUAGCUAAUACCGGAUACUUUCACCGGAAGGCAUCUUCUGGUGAUGAAAGAAUUUCGGUCAGGGAUGAGCUCGCGGCCUAUCAGCUUGUUGGUGAGGUAACGGCUCACCAAGGCGACGACGGGUAACGGGCCUGAGAGGGUGACCGGUCACACUGGGACUGAGACACGGCCCAGACUCCUACGGGAGGCAGCAGUGGGGAAUAUUGCACAAUGGGCGCAAGCCUGAUGCAGCAACGCCGCGUGAGGGAUGAAGGCCUUCGGGUUGUAAACCUCUUUUAGCAGGGAAGAAGCGAAAGUGACGGUACCUGCAGAAAAAGCACCGGCUAACUACGUGCCAGCAGCCGCGGUAAUACGUAGGGUGCAAGCGUUGUCCGGAAUUAUUGGGCGUAAAGAGCUCGUAGGCGGUUUGUCACGUCUGCUGUGAAAAUCCAAGGCUCAACCUUGGACUUGCAGUGGGUACGGGCAGGCUAGAGUGCGGUAGGGGAGAUGGGAAUUCCUGGUGUAGCGGUGGAAUGCGCAGAUA